UUAAGCGACUAAGCGUACACGGUGGAUGCCCUGGCAGUCAGAGGCGAUGAAGGACGUGCUAAUCUGCGAAAAGCGUCGGUAAGGUGAUAUGAACCGUUAUAACCGGCGAUGUCCGAAUGGGGAAACCCAGUGCAAUUCGUUGCACUAUCGUUAACUGAAUACAUAGGUUAACGAGGCGAACCGGGGGAACUGAAACAUCUAAGUACCCCGAGGAAAAGAAAUCAACCGAGAUUCCCCCAGUAGCGGCGAGCGAACGGGGAGCAGCCCAGAGUCUGAAUCAGCUUGUGUGUUAGUGGAACGGUCUGGAAAGUCCGACGGUACAGGGUGAUAGUCCCGUACACCAAAAUGCACAGGCUGUGAACUCGAAGAGUAGGGCGGGACACGUGGUAUCCUGUCUGAAUAUGGGGGGACCAUCCUCCAAGGCUAAAUACUCCUGACUGACCGAUAGUGAACCAGUACCGUGAGGGAAAGGCGAAAAGAACCCCGGCGAGGGGAGUGAAAAAGAACCUGAAACCGUGUACGUACAAGCAGUGGGAGCACCUUCGGGUGUGACUGCGUACCUUUUGUAUAAUGGGUCAGCGACUUAUAUUCUGUAGCAAGGUUAACCGUAUAGGGGAGCCGCAGGGAAACCGAGUCUUAACUGGGCGUUAAGUUGCAGGGUAUAGACCCGAAACCCGGUGAUCUAGCCAUGGGCAGGUUGAAGGUUGGGUAACACUAACUGGAGGACCGAACCGACUAAUGUUGAAAAAUUAGCGGAUGACUUGUGGCUGGGGGUGAAAGGCCAAUCAAACCGGGAGAUAGCUGGUUCUCCCCGAAAGCUAUUUAGGUAGCGCCUCGUGAACUCAUCUUCGGGGGUAGAGCACUGUUUCGGCUAGGGGGUCAUCCCGACUUACCAACCCGAUGCAAACUACGAAUACCGAAGAAUGUUAUCACGGGAGACACACGGCGGGUGCUAACGUCCGUCGUGAAGAGGGAAACAACCCAGACCGCCAGCUAAGGUCCCAAAGUCAUGGUUAAGUGGGAAACGAUGUGGGAAGGCACAGACAGCCAGGAUGUUGGCUUAGAAGCAGCCAUCAUUUAAAGAAAGCGUAAUAGCUCACUGGUCGAGUCGGCCUGCGCGGAAGAUGUAACGGGGCUAAACCAUGCACCGAAGCUGCGGCAGCGACACUAUGUGUUGUUGGGUAGGGGAGCGUUCUGUAAGCCUGCGAAGGUGUGCUGUGAGGCAUGCUGGAGGUAUCAGAAGUGCGAAUGCUGACAUAAGUAACGAUAAAGCGGGUGAAAAGCCCGCUCGCCGGAAGACCAAGGGUUCCUGUCCAACGUUAAUCGGGGCAGGGUGAGUCGACCCCUAAGGCGAGGCCGAAAGGCGUAGUCGAUGGGAAACAGGUUAAUAUUCCUGUACUUGGUGUUACUGCGAAGGGGGGACGGAGAAGGCUAUGUUAGCCGGGCGACGGUUGUCCCGGUUUAAGCAUGUAGGCUGGUUGUCCAGGCAAAUCCGGAUAAUCAAGGCUGAGGUGUGAUGACGAGGCACUACGGUGCUGAAGUAACAAAUGCCCUGCUUCCAGGAAAAGCCUCUAAGCAUCAGGUAACAUCAAAUCGUACCCCAAACCGACACAGGUGGUCAGGUAGAGAAUACCAAGGCGCUUGAGAGAACUCGGGUGAAGGAACUAGGCAAAAUGGUGCCGUAACUUCGGGAGAAGGCACGCUGGUGUGUAGGUGAAGCCCCUGCGGGUGGAGCUGAGACCAGUCGAAGAUACCAGCUGGCUGCAACUGUUUAUUAAAAACACAGCACUGUGCAAACACGAAAGUGGACGUAUACGGUGUGACGCCUGCCCGGUGCCGGAAGGUUAAUUGAUGGGGUUAUCCGUAAGGAGAAGCUCUUGAUCGAAGCCCCGGUAAACGGCGGCCGUAACUAUAACGGUCCUAAGGUAGCGAAAUUCCUUGUCGGGUAAGUUCCGACCUGCACGAAUGGCGUAAUGAUGGCCAGGCUGUCUCCACCCGAGACUCAGUGAAAUUGAACUCGCUGUGAAGAUGCAGUGUACCCGCGGCAAGACGGAAAGACCCCGUGAACCUUUACUAUAGCUUGACACUGAACAUUGAGCCUUGAUGUGUAGGAUAGGUGGGAGGCUUUGAAGCGUGGACGCCAGUCUGCGUGGAGCCAACCUUGAAAUACCACCCUUUAAUGUUUGAUGUUCUAACGUUGGCCCCUGACCGGGGUUGCGGACAGUGUCUGGUGGGUAGUUUGACUGGGGCGGUCUCCUCCCAAAGCGUAACGGAGGAGCACGAAGGUUAGCUAAUCCUGGUCGGACAUCAGGAGGUUAGUGCAAUGGCAUAAGCUAGCUUGACUGCGAGCGUGACGGCGCGAGCAGGUGCGAAAGCAGGUCAUAGUGAUCCGGUGGUUCUGAAUGGAAGGGCCAUCGCUCAACGGAUAAAAGGUACUCCGGGGAUAACAGGCUGAUACCGCCCAAGAGUUCAUAUCGACGGCGGUGUUUGGCACCUCGAUGUCGGCUCAUCACAUCCUGGGGCUGAAGUAGGUCCCAAGGGUAUGGCUGUUCGCCAUUUAAAGUGGUACGCGAGCUGGGUUUAGAACGUCGUGAGACAGUUCGGUCCCUAUCUGCCGUGGGCGCUGGAGAAUUGAGGGGGGCUGCUCCUAGUACGAGAGGACCGGAGUGGACGCAUCACUGGUGUUCGGGUUGUCAUGCCAAUGGCACUGCCCGGUAGCUAAAUGCGGAAGAGAUAAGUGCUGAAAGCAUCUAAGCACGAAACUUGCCCCGAGAUGAGUUCUCCCUGAGACUUUAAGUCUCCUGAAGGAACGUUGAAGACGACGACGUUGAUAGGCCGGGUGUGUAAGCGCAGCGAUGCGUUGAGCUAACCGGUACUAAUGAACCGUGAGGCUUAACCUU
RNAcentral lists this ribosomal RNA (2900 nucleotides) under Klebsiella pneumoniae. RNAcentral describes it as "bacterial LSU rRNA". It matches the Rfam family "Bacterial large subunit ribosomal RNA". Lineage: Bacteria; Pseudomonadati; Pseudomonadota; Gammaproteobacteria; Enterobacterales; Enterobacteriaceae. The record is from RNAcentral.